Cyprinus carpio (common carp) is the source of this 2726-nucleotide long non-coding RNA. RefSeq lists it as uncharacterized. The record is from RefSeq and is a predicted model, not a curated record. The transcript is spliced from 15 exons. Lineage: Eukaryota; Metazoa; Chordata; Actinopteri; Cypriniformes; Cyprinidae.
AGUUUUACUUUUUGAAUGGAAUUAGUGAAAUAAAUAAAUAAAACUUUUUGAUGAUAUUCUAAUUAUAUGACCAGCACCUGUAAGUCAGUGGCUGGCAUAAUAAGAUGUAAUGCAUAUCAAUAGCAAAUAAGAUGGACACAAAAGUUCUGAGACUUUAUGAGAUUAACAUUACAGAAGGAGGUUGUGUAUACUGUAACAUUGGUCAGUUUUGUAAGAAAUACAUGCUUAAGCACAGUUCCUAUUUGAAACCAAAUUUCAGGUGUUUGAGCAAAAGUCUAUUAAUCAAAAGGAUUUUUUUAAGAUCAUGAGAAAGUCUGAGAAUGGUGUGUCAUUUCAGAGGUCUGUUGUUCAGAUGGAUGAACAACGAGAGCAGAAAAUUACUCAGCUGUUGAACUCUGUCCAGAGAGAUGCAGGCAGAGAUGCGCACCCCUCUACAUCUCAGAGCUGGAGGGUGAAGGAGGAGCCCAGUGGCCACAGUUACUUUGAUGGUGAUGAUCCUCCAGAACCUCAGAACAUUGUAAAAGUGCCAAAAAUUUAGCCUAAAGAGGAGAAAUGGGAGAAUGAGGAUGAGUUGGGAGCAAGUGUGAAAGAGGAACUUAAUGAAACUGACCUGGAGUUCUUAUUCCAAGAUGUUGGGCGGAUACCCUCUCUGGAUGAGGAGCUCAAGAAAGAUCAGAAGAAGAAAACCGAUAAUGCUAGAUACCUUGAUAUGCUGAAAUUCAGAGAGAAGCUGCCUUCCUAUGGGAUGAGAGAGGAGCUGGUUUCUGGUAAUCAGUGGAGAGACUGGCUGUGGGAAGACCACCCCGGCUACUCAAUUCAUCCUUGAUGACUUCAUUGAGAGGGGCAUGGGCUCUCUCUGCAGGGUGGUUUGCACACAGCCAAUGCAUAUCCACAUGCUGUCUGUUAAUAAAGUAAUAUUGUUGCAGAGAGGGUGGCUGCAUAACAGGCAGAGUCUGUGGAAGAGGGGAAGUCCUGUGGAUAUCAGAUCCGUCUGCAGAGGCUCAGUGUUGUAUUGUACUACAGGCAUUAUUCUUCAGUGGCUCCGCUCAGAUCCAUAUCUUUCAAGCAUAAGGUCCUGGAUGAAAUUCAUGAGAGGAGUCAUCAGUCUGAUGUUCUUCUCACCAUCGUGAAGGACCUGUUAACUGCUUGAGAGGACCAAAUAGUAAUCCUCAUUAGUGCCACGCUUAACGCUGAGAAAUUCAGCAAAUAUUUCAAUAAUUGUUCCAUGAUCCAUAUUCCUGGAUACACAUACCCAGUGAAAGAGUACUUACUGGAGGAUGUUGUGGAAUUGCUUGGUUGUUAGGUUCAAGCCACAACAUCAGGACCGCAGACCUCGCUAUAGGAGAGGAUUUAUGUACGGCCAGAGAAAGAACAGAGUGAGGCUGAAUACCGCAAGAGCUGGCCCUGCUUCACUCGCAUGCUCAGAGACCGGUACUCAGACAGCACCAUUGAUGCGCUGGAGAUGAUGGAUGAUGAUGACAAGAUCAAUCUGGAGCUUAUCGUAGCAUUGAUCAGACACAUCGUGAUGAAAGAGGAUAACCGUUUAUCAUCAACCCCCUCCACUCUUCGAUGCACAGUGUCUCAGACUCAGGUGUUCAAAAAGCCGCCCCCUGGAGUGCGCAAGAUCAUGAUCGCUAACAACAUCUCAGAAACCAGAUGGGCUUGAGUGUGUGUGCGCUCAUUAUCACAAUAGAUGAUGUCGUGUAUGUGAUAAAUGGAGGGAAGAUUAAAGAAACUCAUUUUGACACCCAGAAUAAUAUCAGGACCAUGACAGCAGAGUGUGUGAGCUUAGCCAACACCAAACAGAGGAAAGGCCGUGCUGGCAGAGUGUCUCCUGGGAAAUGCUAUCACCUGUAUAAUGGACUGAGGGCAAGCCUCCUGGAUAGCUACCAGUUACCUGAGAUCCAACGCACCCCACUGGAAGAGCGUUGCUUGCAAAUAAAGAUACUGAAGUUGGGACCCAUUGAAUCUUUCCAGCAAAAAACCAUGGACCCCCGUCAGACAAAGUGAUAGAGCUGGCCAUCACACACCUGGUGGACCUUGUGAGAGGAUAAAGUGAUGAAAGGGAAGAAUAAAUGAUAUAAUUGAAAAAGAGUCUGCAAUUACCGUAAAAUACAUUGGGUAGUCAGAAACCCAGUGUGAAGCAGCUACAUGGCUACUUAACAAAUAAAUUAAAUGGACAUGAAAGAUUACUUUGAGCGUUGCAAACUAGGUAAGGCAUAAUCUAAUGUAAUUAUCACGAAAUCAACCCUGACGUGAAGGUUCCUGGAAACCACUUAUUACCAGUCUACUAAUUAGGGGCAGUCGUGGCCUAAUCGAUAGAGAGUUGGACUUGUAACCCGAAGGUCGUUGGUUAGAGUUUCAGGUCUAGGAGGGAUUGUAGGUGGGGGAAGUGAAUGUACAGUGCUCUCUCCACCCUUAAUACCAUGACUGAGGUGAGACUCUUGAGCUAGGCACCGAACCCACAACUGCUCCCUGGGCGCAGCAGCAUUGGCUGCCCACUGGUUUGAGGGUGUGUGUGUGUGUACUUGGAUGGGUUAAAUGCAGAGCACAAAUUCCAAAUAUGGGAAGCCACACGACAUGUCCUUUCCGUUCCUUUCCUUUUAAUUAAAGGGAUAGUUCAUCCAAAAAUGAAAAUUUGAUGUUUGUCUGCUUACCCAGAGGGCAUCCAAGAUGUAGGUGACUUUAUUUCUUCAGUAGAACACAAACAAAGAUUUUUACCUCAA